CUCCGAGCUUGGGGAAGAGACAGUUAAACCUUCCCCGUGAGAGCGAGUUAUAUCACGCAGCGCCAGUGCCAGGUCAGCAGUCUGGCUGGAGCUGGACCGGCUGGUGGCGCCAGGCAGUGCCAAGCACCCCUGGCAGCCCUGCAGAGGGUUCUCAAAUCCAGAUUUCAUUCUGCAGUCCCGGCAGUGUUUUGACGACUGCCUCACUAAAGGAAGCUAAAAGCUGUGCUGAUGCCUCCCAGACGAGCCUCGUUGGAAGCACAGAACCUUCACGGCUCGGAGCCGCUGACACCGUGACAAAGGGAGCCCUGCUCAGGAGAAAGAGCAAAUGAGAGGCAGUUGCACUUUUUCAGGUGUCAGGCUGGAGGAAGCCACUUGAAGAUGAAUCUACCUCUGCCUUAGGAUUGCCUGAUGGCCUGUGCCAUUCCAUGUUAUAUCUACUGAUUUGCUCCCUGUAUUCAAAGAUUUUUUUUUUUUACUUAAUUCUCUCUUACUGACCCUGAGAGUGACCAUAUUUUUAACCAAUUUGGUCUUCAGCCUCAAAACUUAGCUCUUUCCUUUUGUGGUCCCCGAAUCCUAUCACGUGUCAUGGUGGCUGUGAAGAUGUUUGCCAAGCCUGCUGAGAAGGCUCAUCUGUGGCAUCCAAAAGCAGAGAUUUCAACUCUGGACCCCUGUGACCUGCCUUUGUAAUUAUGGAUACCCAGCACUGUUUUGAAAUAUCAGUGGACAUCCAGUUUUUAAAAGCCCUCAGAGCUUUGGGAGACACCCCUUUAUCUCUCUGGCAUGUCAGAGAACCGAUUCAACCCUUCUCAUCUCCUCCUCCUUCCCUCUCUUGGGCCAUCAGGAUGCGGCAGCAACUCACUGUGCAUGUUUUUACAGCUCUUCUCCAGUAAUGCUGCCAUUUCCACUGCAGACCACAGGAUAAAAGGACCGCUUCACCGUGGCCCAGGAUACCCUUUUAAGUAGGAGAGGGAGAAGAAAGUACUGCUUUGAUCUAAAAUUAAGCAAACGUUCUUCAAUAAACCCACCAUGAGACUUGACCACUAAUGGUGACCAGCAGUGGCUUUGUCAUGGCCCUGCCCACUGGGGGCAGGCACAUGCCGGGGCCAGGGCAGGCUGCCAGCUGGUGAGCACGAAUAGGUGGCUGGUGGAGCGCAUGCAGUGGGAAGGGCAGAUGGCUCCAUUUUGAUUUGUUAGCAGGCCACUUCCUCGGAAGGGGCUUUCCCUUCAGUGGGGUCUGCACCGCCAGCCUCAGCUGUCUUGGAGCAGAUGUGUAUAGUUAGAGAUGGGGACCUUUUCACUGUAAAUACUGCUCACAUGUUCCUAGGCUGACUUUACUAUGUGCAGAGCCUCUUCUCAAAUAUCCAAAUCCCCUCUGUUGGGUACUACAGAACAGAUGUUACCCUGCCUCCUAUUACAUUAAUUUACGAACUUUACAUAUGCUGAGUUACGGACCCUAAGCUGUUGCAUGUGCUUGGCUCUUAUGUUCCAAAAAGUACAUUUGUAUGGUUUUGUGGAAACUGUGCUGUUCUGCUUUUGCAGUCUGUGAGAUUCUGAUUUUUUUUUUCUCAUCAGCAAUUAUCCUUGUCUUGGAACAUCAGAGCUUGAAGAAAGGGAUUCUAGCAGCCCACCUCUCUCCUUCCUAAUCCAGAUGGUUAGAGGCUUAGAGAGAGGUGGUGGUUGCUCUGAGUUUACCAGAUUCAGUGACAAACCCCUUCUAAUUUCUAAUCAAUCUGGCAGCCUUCAUUUACCAAAAGUUGACUUUUGAUAGUAUAACUUUUAUACACCG
RNAcentral lists this long non-coding RNA (1786 nucleotides) under Homo sapiens (human). RNAcentral's name for it is "non-protein coding LINC01105:1". The record is from RNAcentral. Lineage: Eukaryota; Metazoa; Chordata; Mammalia; Primates; Hominidae.